Molecule: small RNA, 576 nt
Filed under: Pan troglodytes (chimpanzee)
Lineage: Eukaryota; Metazoa; Chordata; Mammalia; Primates; Hominidae
Description: processed transcript
Source: RNAcentral
ACACUGGCUGUUGUCAUCCGCCCCUGAGGUUUCAGGCUGUCGGCAGUGAAGGUCAGAGUGCAGACCUGAGACCACUGCUCACCGACUUCAGACUCCAGUUUAUCUGUGCCUUGGCUUCCCCACUUAGUCGCAGAAGACUUAGGCUGAGGCCCCAGGAAGAGAUCUCCAUCCUUUGCAGGAGCACAACAAGAUGGCCAUGUCCCAGAAAUCAUUGACCUUCAAGGACGUGUUUGUGGACUUCACCCUGGAGGAGUGGCAGCAACUGGACUCUGCCCAGAAGAACCUCUACAGGGAUGUCAUGCUUGAGAACUACGGCCACCUGGUGUCCGUGGGGCAUCUAGUUGGGAAGCCAGAUGUGAUCUUCAGGUUGGGACCAGGUGAAGAGUCCUGGAUGGCAGAUGGAGGGACCCCGGUACGGACCUGUGCAGGUGAGGACAGGUCAGAAAGAAAUCCUUAUUGAUUACUAUAUCUUGCAUACAGAAGAGCAUUUAGAACACAUGCGUACUUUUCAGAAGAAAUAUAUAGCUAACACCUGGAUAAUCACCACUCAGGUUGAGAACUACGACUCUACCCCUU